UGAAAUGCUUAGAUAGGGAAGAGUACAUGAACAAAUCCUUCAGAGAGGAAAACAUUUGCUGAGAGUUUUCUAGGAACCCUGUUAAUGGAAGGUCCCCCUUGAUGCAGCUUCUUUGAACUUUAAGUAGGAGAAGCCGGUUAGAAGCCGUUAUUUAUUUUGAGUGUACAGGAAUGUCUUCCUGUAAAUUAAGGUGGUACCACGGAAAAUAAUCCCUUUUCGUCCUUUGU
This 227-nucleotide non-coding RNA is filed under the name Halobacillus karajensis. RNAcentral describes it as "T-box sequence". It matches the Rfam family "T-box leader". From Rfam's summary of the family: Uncharged tRNA acts as the effector for transcription antitermination of genes in the T-box leader family. Lineage: Bacteria; Bacillati; Bacillota; Bacilli; Caryophanales; Bacillaceae. The record is from RNAcentral.